CAGCCGCCGCGGUAAUACGGAGGAUCCGAGCGUUAUCCGGAAUUAUUGGGUUUAAAGGGUGCGUAGGCGGAUAGAUAAGUCAGUGGUGAAAGACGGUGGCUCAACCAUCGCAGUGCCGUUGAUACUGUUUAUCUUGAAUAUGGAUGAGGUAGGCGGAAUGUGGCAAGUAGCGGUGAAAUGCAUAGAUAUGCCACAGAACACCGAUUGCGAAGGCAGCUUACCAAGGCAAAAUUGACGCUGAGGCACGAAAGCGUGGGGAUCGAACAGGAUUAGAUACCCCUGUAGUCCCUGUCUCUUAUAC
This 301-nucleotide ribosomal RNA is filed under the name uncultured bacterium. Its description in RNAcentral is "partial 16S ribosomal RNA". It matches the Rfam family "Bacterial small subunit ribosomal RNA", at positions 509 to 807 of the family's 1533-position model. The record is from RNAcentral.